Molecule: non-coding RNA, 373 nt
Filed under: uncultured fungus
Lineage: Eukaryota; Fungi
Also listed under: 1 other name
Source: RNAcentral
AGAGUUAAAUAGUACGUGAAAUUGUUGAAAGGGAAACGAUUGAAGUCAGUCAUGCCGGUGAGAAUCAACUUUGGGGAAGGGGGAUUUUUUGAACCUAACCUUGAAGUGCACUUCUUCGCUUGGCAGGUUAGCGUCGAUUUUAAACGUCAUAAAAUGAUUGGGGGAAGGUAGCUCUUUCGGGAGUGUUAUAGCCCUUAAUUAAUGUGAUAUUUGGGAUCGAGGAUUGCAACGGAUACCUUUUUAGGCUAGCCGCCUGGCCUCUGAUUCGAUGUCGGGUUAUAGACAGCACGCUGACUAUGAUCUGAUUAUUGGUCAAAAGGUUAGAGCGAGCAUAAAUUCGUUAAGGACGCUGACGUAAUGGCUUUAAACGACC